AUUUUUCCGAAAAACACCCCCGGAAAACUUUUCUCACGCGGCUCGACCCUACCCUCUCUCACUUGCGCUGGGCCCGCGGCGCGGACCCACUCCUUCUCCUAUUCCUCCUACCCGCCGGCCUCCUUCCUUCCCGGCCGGGCCUGACUGGGCCGAUUUCUCUUUUUCCUUCUCCUUUCUUACACCCGCGACGGCCCAGCGGCCCUCUUUCUUUUUCUUUUCCCCCGCGGGCGCGGCCUGUCUUUCUCCCUGGGCCUCCGGCCCUUUUUCUCUCUUUGGUUAACCGUGCGCGCUCUUGGGCCUUUAAGGCCACGGCCCAACUGGCCUCCGCGUCCGGCCGGCC
This 340-nucleotide long non-coding RNA is filed under the name Setaria viridis. RNAcentral describes it as "long non-coding RNA (SVIR_LNC005003)". The record is from RNAcentral. Lineage: Eukaryota; Viridiplantae; Streptophyta; Magnoliopsida; Poales; Poaceae.